GACGUAGGGCGCGAGCGUUGUCCGGAUUUAUUGGGCGUAAAGAGCUCGUAGGCGGUGUGUCACGUCGGCCGUGAAAACCUGCAGCUUAACUGUGGGCGUGCGGUCGAUACGGGCAUCACUGGAGUUCGGCAGGGGAGACUGGAAUUCCUGGUGUAGCGGUGAAAUGCGCAGAUAUCAGGAGGAACACCGGUGGCGAAGGCGGGUCUCUGGGCCGAUACUGACGCUGAGGAGCGAAAGCGUGGGGAUCAAACAGG
Molecule: ribosomal RNA, 254 nt
Filed under: uncultured bacterium
Lineage: Bacteria
Description: partial 16S ribosomal RNA
Rfam family: Bacterial small subunit ribosomal RNA
Source: RNAcentral